This 255-nucleotide ribosomal RNA is filed under the name uncultured bacterium. RNAcentral describes it as "partial 16S ribosomal RNA". It matches the Rfam family "Bacterial small subunit ribosomal RNA", at positions 15 to 263 of the family's 1533-position model. The record is from RNAcentral.
GAUCAUGGCUCAGGACGAACGCUGGCGGCGUGCCUAACACAUGCAAGUCGAGCGGAGACAGUGAGUAGCUUGCUAUGAGCUGUUUUAGCGGCGGACGGGUGAGUAACGCGUGAGCAACCUUUCCCAGACAAGGGAAUAACACACCGAAAGGUGUACUAAUACCGCAUAAGACCACCGGAUCACAUGGUUCUGGGGUAAAAGAUUUAUCGGUUUGGGGUGGGCUCGCGUCCGAUUAGGUAGUUGGUGAGGUAACGG